Molecule: ribosomal RNA, 300 nt
Filed under: uncultured Desulfonauticus sp.
Lineage: Bacteria; Pseudomonadati; Thermodesulfobacteriota; Desulfovibrionia; Desulfovibrionales; Desulfonauticaceae
Description: bacterial SSU rRNA
Rfam family: Bacterial small subunit ribosomal RNA
Source: RNAcentral
GGUAACUCCGGGGCAGGCGCCGAGGGAAGACGGAGGGUGCAAGCGUUUACCGGGUUCACUGGGUUUAAAGGGUGCGUAGGUGGGUUGGUAAGUCAGAGGUGAAAUCCCCGGGCUUAACUUGGGAACUGCCAUUGAUACUAUUAAUCUUGAAUACCGUGGAGGUCAGCGGAAUAUGUCAUGUAGCGGUGAAAUGCUUAGAUAUGACAUAGAACACCAAUUGCGAAGGCAGCUGGCUACGCGAAUAUUGACACUGAUGCACGAAAGCGUGGGGAUCAAACAGGAUUAGAUACCCUGGUAGUC